AUGCAAGUGGCUGAGAGGCACACUUACUGCCCCUUCAUGAUUCACCUCUGCACUCAUGUCAUGGGCACGCUCUUAAGAGCUGCUGGCGCCCCACAACUGACCAGGGUGGUGUACUGGAGCCAGGCCCUUUCUGCCUAAGCAGGACACUCAAAGAGGCAGUCUUUGCCCUGCAGCCCUCCACUGGCCCAGCCAACACUCUCUCAGAGCUUAGACAUCUGCUUCUCAGAGCACCCAAACUGACAGGGUGUAUCCAGUAUAUUUGAUUCUGAAGCUAGAGAGACCCAGCUGGCCAUACACAUUGGGGAAUCAUUGACAGAUGGCAGCUGAGAUCUGAGAGCGGUUGACCUCACUUCACAAGGUUGAGUGGAAUUAGGAGGGACAAACUUCUGUGACAGGAGCCUGAGGAGCACCAAACAGGAGAACCCAGCCCAUUUCACAGGAUGUUUAAUGUGUGCUCACAAAUAGAUUCCAUCAGCUCUCCUACGGCACCCAGGAGGUCAGCUGCCCCAUGGAGGAAGCAAGAUUUGUGUGCAUUAGAAAUAAAUGAACUGUUGGAGAUAGGAUCUUCUUUGUUGACAAAACAAGUCUUGAAGAUAAGAGAUCAAGGCUUCUAGUUAAAUGGAGCAGUGACCUUAUCAGAAAUCUCAAAGCAGAAAAGUCUGUCAGAAAAACAGCAUCAGAUCAAGGAAACCAAGUACAUGGAGCUAAUUUUUGACUCUAAAGAAAGGCAAGAUUAUUUAAUAAUAAUGAUAAUGGCACAGUUUGUUAACUAUGUGAAGAAAAUCAAAUAUAGCUUUAUCUCCAUUAUACAACCAAAUAUAUUCUACAUGGAUUAAAAUAUUAAAUGUAAAAGUUAAUCAAACCAAUAAGUCAAAAAAGAAAAAAAUAGAAAAAAUAUCCAUAAAAAUUUAUUGAAUUACAAAAUGGUCAUAAAAUAUAUUAGUUCAAAACAAUGGAAUAAUUCAUAAAGGAUGACUAUUAUAGAGAUUUUCCCGUAGAGAGUUCUAAAAUUUAUGUGACUCAAAAAAUGCCUUAUAUAAAACUAAUAUCAAAUAAAAAUUUUCAGAAAAUAUUUGCUUGCAUAAGGCAAAAGAGCUAAUAACCUUAAUGUAUAAAAGUUCCUUCAAACUAAGUACCAUCUCAGAAGAAAAAAAAUCUCAAAGUGGUAAUCAAAUAAUAAAAAUUGUAAUACCAGGUCUCGAUGACUUAGCUAGGUGUGGUGGUGCACACGCCUGUCGUCCCAGCUACUCGGGAGACUGAGGCAGAAGAAUCACUUGAACCCAGGAGGUGGAGUUUGCAGUGAGCCAAGAUCACGCCACUGCACUCCAGCCUGGGGACAGAGCGAGACUCUGUCAAAAAACAAAACAAAACAAAAUAAAACUUCCCUUAAUUCUGCAACAUUUCUGAUUAGACCAAGUAGCAUCAGGAAAGAUACAGAAGAACUUUCCCUCCUCCAACAGCUAAGUUCAACUAAAUUUCUGGACACUGUAUAUAUUUUAACCUCCCCCACCUAAAAUAAAAGAAAAAAAAGAGAAGACUUUGCAGUAUGGAGAAAAGGUAGACAAGCCAGGGACCUUGGUCUCAAAGAACAACAUGGUGGUGGGUUUCCUGGGUUUUCUUUUCCAUCAUAUAUCUCAGACUUGGAGAUGAAAAAUCAGCAAUCCAGAAACAACAUUGGAUGGAGAAAAAGCUGCAAUGAAAGAUUGCCAUCUCUAGCAAAGGAGCAGAAAAGGGGCAGACUAUCAAGGCAGAAAACUUUCAGGCUGUAACUGCUCUACUCCAACCACAUCCAGAAAACAAAACUAAACAAACAAACAAAAAAAACUUGUGGCCUCAUUUUCACUCAUGCUAACAAAGCCCAAGUGGGGAGUCUAAACUGCCACCCUCACAAAGCUGUAAAUAGGUGCCCGCAAUACCCCUACAGGAGUGGUGUCAGAGGACAUGGAAAAGGGAGCCAAAACUUUCAUUUCUGUUAGCCAGUAACAAGAGUCUACUGCAGUGUAAAUGGAGACCAUAUGGGGAACUUGGACUUUCAUGCUACCUGGCAGUGACGAGGCAGCCCUUCUUUCCCUGAUGGAAUGGCAUCAGAGGAUCCCAGUGGGAAGUGAGGACAUUCACUACCACUAAUUAGUAACAAGGCCACCACCACUAUGGUGUCAAUAGAGAUCACAUGGAGAGGCAGCACAAAUAUCUAUGCCCAGUAGUUAUUAAGACCUGCUUCUCUCAGCAGAGUCAGGUGUCAGUGGAGGAGAAGUGAAGGAUCUGGAAGUGAAUUCUACCUUCCAGUAGAAAGCUGUGUUGAGCCACUUUUCCCCCUUUCAAAGCAGUGCCUAAAAAAGCAGCUGGAGGAUAAAGUUUGAAUAAGAUCCAAAGACUCUUAACGUAAUAUGAAUGUGACCAGGUUUCAAUCAAAAAUUGCUUGUCAUACAAAUAACAAGGAAAAUUUCAAAAAGGAUAAAAAGUAAAUUCAUUAUAUGCCAAUAGUGAGAAGGCAGAGCUAUUAAAAUAAUCUGACAGAGAUUGUAGAGCAACUGUGGUAAAAAUACUUCAACAAUCAAAACAUGCUUGAAACAAAUUUAAAAAACAGAGUUUCAGCACAGAUAUAUAAGACACAAAGAAGAACCACUGGACAUUUUAGAACAGAAAAAUGUAAUAACUUAAGUGAAAGCUUAAUGGAUGAUAUCAACAGCAGAAUAGAAGAGACAGAAGAAGAAAACAGGUAGCUUUAAGAUAGAAGAAGAAAAAUCACAUAAUCUAAACAACAGAGAGGAUAAAGGAAAAGAAAAUGAACAGAGCCUCCAAGAUCUGUGGACUAUAACAAAAUAUCUAGCAAAGACCUGGAAGAAGAGAAAUAGAGUGGGUCUAAAAAUGUGCUCCAAGUACACAUGGUCACAAAGAUGAGAACAAUAGACACUGAGGACUACUUGGAGGGGGAGACUGGGAGGAGAGUGAGGGUCAUAAAACUACCGAUUGGGUAUCUUGCUCACUGCCUGGAUGAUGGAAUCAUUUGUACACCAAACCCCAGUACUACACUGCCCAUGUAACAAACCUGCACAUAUACACCCUGAAUCUAAAAUAAAAGUUGAAUAAAUACAUAAAUAUAUAAAAAAUAAAAAUGUACACCAAAAAAUAGCAUCUAAAAUCUACCAAUUUCAUUAGAGACAUAAACCUACAGAAUAUGAAUAAAUAUGAAUGAACCCUAAACAGGGUAAUCACAAAGAUAUUCACACCAAGUUCCCUUGUAAUUAAACAUCUGAGAACUAGAAACAAAGAAAAAAUUUUGAAAGCAAUCAGAGAAAAGACACUUGACCAAUACGAGAAAAGCAAUUAAAAUGACAGAUUUCUCAUCAGAAACCACAGAGGAGAGAUGGAAGUGGCACGAUAUUUUUCAGGUGUCAAAAGAAAAGAGCUCUCAACCUAGGCUGACAAUCCUCUACCCAGGAUGAAAUCCUAGUUUCACAAUUGCAUUAGUCCAUUCUCACAUUGCUAUAAAGAACUACCUGAGACUGGGUAAUUUAUGAAGAAAAGAGCUUUAAUUGGCUCAUAGUUCUGCAGGCUGUACAGGAGGUGUGACUCAGGAGGCCUCAGUAAACUUAGGAUCAAAGCAGAAGGCGAAGGGGAAGCAGACACAUCUUCAUAUGGCAGAACAGGAGAGAAAAAGAGUGAAGGGGAACGUGCCACACACUUUUAAACAACCAGAUCUUGUUAGAACUCUAUCACAAGACAGCACUGGGGGAUGGUGCGAAACCAUUGGAAACCACCCCCAUGAUUCAAUCACCUCCCACCAGGGCCCUCCUCCAACACUGCGGAUUACAAUUCAACAUGAGAUUUGGGUGGGAGACAGAAACAAACCAUAUCAACAAUCCUAUACCCUGAAUAUUCAAUCCUAUAACCAAAGUGAAAGGGAAAUCAUAAUAUUCUUAAGCUGAAGAAAAAGUAAGAUAAUUUACUAUCCUAUCCAAAAAGUAUACCUAAAGAAAGUUCUCUAAACAGAAGGAAAACAAAAGAAAGACACCAGGAAAGGAAGAAAACAGAAAAAAAUAAGAUAAAAGAUCUGCAGCUAUGGAAUUCUUCUCCAUGACAUUUUCACAGAACAUACUACUUGUGAUUUAUAUCAUGUCCUUACUCAAGGCCACAUCCUUCCAAGGAAAAGUGAAUGUGCUCAUUUCCAUGCUACUGAAAGCCUGUCAUUCCUCAGCACUCAUCCCCAUCAUCACCUCCAUCUCCUUGAUCAACAGCACGUAAUUUGUCCUCAUCCCCUACUGUUUAACCGAUAUGAUCUCAUGAAAAUCCACUACAACUCAAGGCCAGGAGAAUUCAGGCUCUGGCUUUCAGCCUCUUGCCCAGUGUAACCAUUAGUGGCGUUCCCACACCAAGGGCUAAUGUUGAUUACAUUACUACUAAAAUGUUCCCAAAUGGGAUGAAUCAGAAGUGGGAUAACCUCGACAUGAGAAUUUGCCUCCUGUUCUCGGAAGAAACACUGUCAUUGUCAUUGUCCAUAUUUUUAAUUCAAU
RNAcentral lists this long non-coding RNA (4514 nucleotides) under Homo sapiens (human). Its description in RNAcentral is "non-protein coding lnc-C8orf34-1:6". Lineage: Eukaryota; Metazoa; Chordata; Mammalia; Primates; Hominidae. The record is from RNAcentral.